This 367-nucleotide ribosomal RNA is filed under the name uncultured bacterium. RNAcentral describes it as "bacterial SSU rRNA". It matches the Rfam family "Bacterial small subunit ribosomal RNA", at positions 917 to 1289 of the family's 1533-position model. The record is from RNAcentral.
GGGCCCGCACAAGCGGUGGAGUAUGUGGUUUAAUUCGAUGCAACGCGAAGAACCUUACCAGGGUUUGACAUCCUGCGAAUCUCUUGGAAACGAGAGAGUGCCUUCGGGAGCGCAGUGACAGGUGGUGCAUGGCUGUCGUCAGCUCGUGUCGUGAGAUGUUGGGUUAAGUCCCGCAACGAGCGCAACCCACGUCUUUAGUUGCCAGCAUUAGUUGGGCACUCUAGAGAGACUGCCGGUGAUAAAACCGGAGAAGGUGUGGAUGACGUCAAGUCAUCAUGCCCCUUACAUCUGGGCUACACACGUACUACAAUGCUACGGACAAAGGGCAGCCACACCGCAAGGUGGAGCGAAUCUUAAAACCGGUCUC